AGUGAACGCUGGCGGUAGGCCUAACACAUGCAAGUCGAACGGCAGCACAGGAGAGCUUGCUCUCUGGGUGGCGAGUGGCGGACGGGUGAGGAAUACAUCGGAAUCUGCCCAGUCGUGGGGGAUAACGUAGGGAAACUUACGCUAAUACCGCAUACGACCUUCGGGUGAAAGAGGGGGAUCGCAAGACCUCUCGCGAUUGGAUGAGCCGAUGUCGGAUUAGCUUGUUGGCGGGGUAAUGGCCCACCAAGGCGACGAUCCGUAGCUGGUCUGAGAGGAUGAUCAGCCACACUAGAACUGAGACACGGUCCAGACUCCUACGGGAGGCAGCAGUGGGGAAUAUUGGACAAUGGGCGCAAGCCUGAUCCAGCCAUACCGCGUGGGUGAAGAAGGCCUUCGGGUUGUAAAGCCCUUUUGUUGGGAAAGAAAUCUUUCAGGCUAAUACCCUGGGAGGAUGACGGUACCCAAAGAAUAAGCACCGGCUAACUUCGUG
Molecule: ribosomal RNA, 490 nt
Filed under: uncultured bacterium
Lineage: Bacteria
Description: partial 16S ribosomal RNA
Rfam family: Bacterial small subunit ribosomal RNA
Source: RNAcentral